GCGCCGUUGGCGAAACUGGCAGACGCACCUGAUUACCUAAGGGCCACAUCAACGGGGUGGCCUUUAGGAAUCAGGCGAGGAAACUCAUGCGGGUUCAACUCCCGCACGGCGCACCA
Molecule: transfer RNA, 116 nt
Filed under: Phyllobacterium zundukense
Lineage: Bacteria; Pseudomonadati; Pseudomonadota; Alphaproteobacteria; Hyphomicrobiales; Phyllobacteriaceae
Description: tRNA-OTHER
Rfam family: tRNA
About the family: Transfer RNA (tRNA) molecules are approximately 80 nucleotides in length. Their secondary structure includes four short double-helical elements and three loops (D, anti-codon, and T loops).
Source: RNAcentral